Small nucleolar RNA from Psammomys obesus (fat sand rat), 128 nucleotides. RefSeq annotates it as small nucleolar RNA SNORA17. The record is from RefSeq and is a predicted model, not a curated record. NCBI's taxonomy places the organism in Eukaryota, Metazoa, Chordata, Mammalia, Rodentia, Muridae. The transcript has a single exon.
CCUGCCCCUAAGGGCACUGCGGGUGUGGCUGCCAUGUCACUGUGCAUCAGCUGGCAGCAGGGAGGAGAGAGGCCACGCCUACACUCAGUGUUCUGACCUGUGAACAGCUGAAUGACUAAAAAAACAAA